AACACAGAUAUAAACCCUAAACACUAAUCACUAAAUCCUAAACCCUAAUCGCUAAAUCCUAAACCCUAAUAUAAACCCUAAACCCUAAUCACUAAACCUUAAACCCAAAUAUAAACCCUAAACCCAAAUAUAAACCCUAAACUCUAAUCACUAAACCAUAAACCCAAAUAUAAACCAUAAAAAUUAAACUCUACUCGCCCACUUAAAUACUAAAACCCUAGACAAACCCCUAAUUACUAAAUCUAAACCCAAAUAACUAAAGUAUAAACCCAAACAAGAUCUAUAUAAUAUGUUGUCAAUUUUCUCAAUGUAGACGACAUAGUAUGGAACCGCUAUAAAUAGUAUAGUUGUACUGGUCCACUCCAUUUACAUUUUCCAAAUGACCAAGUUUAAGAUCGAAAUUACUAAACCCUAAACACUAAUUACUAAAUCCUAAACCCAAAUAUAAACCCAAAACCCUAAACUGUAAACCCAAAUCUCAAAAUCUAAUGCAAACCUCAACUUCACCACCAUUCCUCUAAAUAAUAGAAUUUAGAUUUCUAAACUAGAAUUGAUAAUAAUGAAGAUUCCAAAUAAUCAAAUUUGUGCAACAUUUAAAAAAUGAAUUUAUCACAGAAAAUGACAUUGAAAAUAACUAUCGAAUUUGAAAAUAUGGCAUAUUAUUACAUUUUAAGAAAUAGUAUAGCAUUUCGUCUCAAAUAGUAUGGUAUCUUUACACAAAUAGCUACCCUAAAGAAUAUAUACUAUACUAUUCAUUUCACCGAAUAUAGUAUAGACGAAAAGUUCAUCUUCUUCAAUUCUUCAUUCUUAGACAUGCUGAUACGCAUUCAUUUGGCUCACACUCACUAUUCUUUACUACGAUAUAGAGAUCGUCUUCAUCUACUCUUUUUUUUUCUGACACAGCAACACUUUACAGAUCCACCGUUGUUAUUCUUCAUCAGUGGAUAUCUAUCAUGGAUCUAACUCUGAUGCGAUAAUCCCAUCUCAUUUGCAAGAUUUAAAAAAGAAAACAAUAUGAAAACAAAAGCAUGAUUAUAAGAAUCAGUGAGUUAAGAGAUGGAGGAAAAAAAUUAAAGAGUUGGUGUGUGUUCUCACCGUCUACGCCUUCAUCGUUGUCUCUUUUUUACCACAGUUGAUUGUUCUUCUCGUGAGAAGAAAUCAAUUCAAGAAAAAAUCUGGGAAGAAGAAUUUCAUCUACUGUGAGAGAAUGUGUGAUUUUCAAGGGCCACACGUUGCUUUUGAGAGAAUGUGUGAUUUUCAAAAUAAAGCACAUGUGAGAGAAUGUGUGAUUUUCAAGGGCCACACGUUACUUUGGGUAUUACUAUUAUUAUUAACUUUUCUUUAUUUUUUUUUUGCAGGUUUCAACCGGUUGUAUCUGAGGGCGAUAUGACAAUAUUAUAUAUAAGAAGGAAAUUGUAUAGGCGAUGUAGAUUUUUUAGUCAGCCAUUGAAUUAUAAUUUGUUUGAUGGUUAUAUAACCCAAUUUCCCUUUUUUAUUUUUGGCAAAAAAAAAUUUUUUUUUUUGUGGUUUUUACGAAAAAAACUCAUAACAAACGCGUUUUCUCUUAACAUGUCUGAUAUACUCGUCCAAUUGUCGUUGCUUAGUUGUAUAACAUUUUGUAGUAAUCUGCUCGUAAAUAUACAACCGUCUAUGACAAUUUGUCUAGUUUCUUAUCCAAUCAUCAUUACGUAACGUCGAGGUUACGAACUUUCCGUCGUAAAUAUAUUUUGAUUUCUUGACAAAUUAUAUUUUCCACAGAGCUUCAUUGUUAUUUCAUCCCUUAAUUACAACGACCAUGACUCGUGGUAAAUGGUCGUCAAUUAAAUCUGUGAUUUCCUGUAGUGUUUAUAGUUUGAGAUAAUGAUGAUUUAGAGGGUGAUUGGUUGGGUUGUAUGAAGUGAUUUUAGCUUUAAUUUUCAUCUACAUUAUUAAAUACUAUUUCAAUCAUGUUUUAUCUUGGUUUUUAAAGAUACAGUAAAAACACACAAAAAAUGGCUUUAAAAAUCUUAUUUUCUAAAGCUCUAUCUUUUUAGCUGUAGGAAAUUUUAAAGCUACAUCACUUUCAAAAAAUCUACAGACUAAAUUUUAAAAUAAAAUUUUUACAGUUACAGCCCAACCAAUCACCUUCUUGCUAAUAAUUAUGUAUAUUAAUUGAGAAAAUGCUUAUAUAAGUUCUUUAAUACGGUGCAAAUAGAACAAACAGACGUAGAUUUUCAUAAGGUGAUCUAUGAUAGUAUAAUCAAAUUUAUAACACAUGUAGAAUUAUCGGUUGUGUAGUCUUUAUGUAAACAGACGUACAUUUUCAUAAGGUGAUCUAUGAUUAUACUAUCAUAGAUCACCUUAUGUAAUUUUUUCAUAACUUAUAAUACUUCUCUAUAACAUAUAAACUAGUGUUAAAAUAGAUAAAUAAUAUACUUUUGUAUAACUUUUUUUUUAAAAUAGAUUAAUAAUCUACUUUUAUAAAUAAGAGAUUUCUAUGAGAUAGCAAAGUACAAACAUGAUUUUUGAAAAUAAAUACUAAUAAUGUCAUUUAUAUCAAUCAUCGGGGUUUUUUAUCUAGUAAUUAAAAAACAACAGUAAUUAGGAAAAAAUGCAUUGCGUUUGUAAUAUAAUUAAUUUUGGUACAACCCGUUUCAGACGUAUUUUUUAUUUAGAUAUUUUAUGUUUCUAUACAUCAGAACCAAACCCAUUCAGAAUUAGAAGAAUCCAACUCAAAACUCACACAUAAAUUUAUAAUAUUAAAGCAAUGUUUAAUUUUAAAAAAAAAGCGAUAACCGAAAAGAAUAACUCGUGCCUAAAUGGAUAGUCGAUGUUCAUGCAUAACUGAUUU
Long non-coding RNA from Brassica rapa (field mustard), 2830 nucleotides. RefSeq lists it as uncharacterized. The record is from RefSeq and is a predicted model, not a curated record. Lineage: Eukaryota; Viridiplantae; Streptophyta; Magnoliopsida; Brassicales; Brassicaceae.